UACGUAGGCAGCAAGCGUUGUUCGGAAUUACUGGGCGUAAAGAGUGUGUAGGCGGUGCUCCAAGUCUGGUGUGGAAUCUCCCGGCUUAACUGGGAGGGUGCAUUAGAAACUGGAAUGCUAGAGGAUGGGAGAGGUAAGCGGAAUUCCUGGUGUAGCGGUGAAAUGCGUAGAUAUCAGGAGGAACACCUGUGGUGUAGACAGCUUACUGGACCAUUUCUGACGCUGAGACACGAAAGCGUGGGUAGCAAACAGG
Molecule: ribosomal RNA, 253 nt
Filed under: uncultured bacterium
Lineage: Bacteria
Description: partial 16S ribosomal RNA
Rfam family: Bacterial small subunit ribosomal RNA
Source: RNAcentral